AUGGUUGUAGUUUAGUGGCAAGAAUUCCACGUUGUGGCUGUGGAAACCUGGGCUCGAAUCCCAGCAGCCACA
This 72-nucleotide transfer RNA is filed under the name Salvia splendens (bonfire salvia). It matches the Rfam family "tRNA". From Rfam's summary of the family: Transfer RNA (tRNA) molecules are approximately 80 nucleotides in length. Lineage: Eukaryota; Viridiplantae; Streptophyta; Magnoliopsida; Lamiales; Lamiaceae. The record is from Rfam by way of RNAcentral.